GAUGAACGCUAGCGGCAGGCCUAACACAUGCAAGUCGAGGGGUAACAGGGAGUGCUUGCACUCCGCUGACGACCGGCGCACGGGUGCGCACCGCGUAUGGAACCUACCUUUUACAGGGGAAUAGCCUUUGGAAACGAAGAUUAAUGCCCCAUAGCACCUAUUUUCAGCAUUGUUAAUAGGUUAAAGGCUUCGGCCGGUAAAAGAUGGCCAUGCGUCCCAUUAGCUUGAUGGUAAGGUAACGGCUUACCAUGGCUACGAUGGGUAGGGGCCCUGAGAGGGGGAUCCCCCACACUGGUACUGAGACACGGACCAGACUCCUACGGGAGGCAGCAGUGAGGAAUAUUGGACAAUGGAGGAGACUCUGAUCCAGCCAUGCCGCGUGCAGGAAGAAUGCCCUAUGGGUAGUAAACUGCUUUUAUACGGGAAGAAAAAGGGCUACGUGUAGCCCACUGACGGUACCGUAAGAAUAAGGACCGGCUAACUCCG
RNAcentral lists this ribosomal RNA (486 nucleotides) under uncultured Maribacter sp. RNAcentral's name for it is "bacterial SSU rRNA". It matches the Rfam family "Bacterial small subunit ribosomal RNA", at positions 28 to 505 of the family's 1533-position model. Lineage: Bacteria; Pseudomonadati; Bacteroidota; Flavobacteriia; Flavobacteriales; Flavobacteriaceae. The record is from RNAcentral.